Molecule: ribosomal RNA, 238 nt
Filed under: uncultured bacterium
Lineage: Bacteria
Description: partial 16S ribosomal RNA
Rfam family: Bacterial small subunit ribosomal RNA
Source: RNAcentral
CGGCGGACGGGUGAGUAACGCGUGGGUAACCUGCCUCAUACAGGGGGAUAACAGUUAGAAAUGGCUGCUAAUACCGCAUAAGACCACGGUACUGCAUGGUACAGUGGUAAAAACUCCGAUGGUAUGAGAUGGCCCCGCGUCUGAUUAGGUAGUUGGUGAGGUAACGGCCCACCAAGCCGACGAUCAGUAGCCGACCUGAGAGGGUGACCGGCCACAUUGGGACUGAGACACGGCCCAG